RNA transcript from Carya illinoinensis, 1394 nucleotides. It is a transcript of the gene named putative RING-H2 finger protein ATL71, with no coding region annotated. The record is from RefSeq and is a predicted model, not a curated record. The transcript has 2 exons. NCBI's taxonomy places the organism in Eukaryota, Viridiplantae, Streptophyta, Magnoliopsida, Fagales, Juglandaceae.
UCUCUCUCUCUCUCUCUCUCUCUCUCUCUCUCUCUCUCUCUCUCUCUCUCUCUCUUCGUUUUUUUUUUUAAAUCUUUCAUUCUCAGCUUCGUAUUCCUCCCAAGUUUUCUCGACCCAUCCUCUAUUCUCUCUCUCCAUCUCGCGACUCUCGAUUUCUCUUCAUCUUGCUGGAUAACUCUGUCUCUCUCUCUCUCUCUCCGUUUUUGAAUUUAUGUAUUAUUUUAUUUAUGAAUUUGAUGAUCUGUGAUUUUUGUUUGCAGAAGAAGGAAAAUAUUACUCCGAUUGGCUUAAAGAUCGUGGUAAUUUCUACUCCAUGUCUUUUUGCUUUUCAACUCCUCCUCACCCAUUGUUGUUGGUGUUGGUGUCGCAGUGGUGGUGAGAGAUCGACGGAAGAUGGAAGAUGGAGAAAAAGUUUUGUCUCUCUGUUGGAUAACUGGAUAAGACCGACAGGUAAGGGGGUGAGGCUUGAUUAAAAAAUAUAUAUAUUUAUGUAAGUUCUUGCUAGCUAGCUUCAUCAUCAAGAGCUCCACACCUUAAACAUCAAUCAAAACAUGGAUGUCGCUUUUGCUUAUAGCUUCGGAUUCUCCCUUGUCAUCGUCGCUGUUAUCAUAACGAUGGCCGUGGCUUCUUACUACUACACCCGCAAGUAUUCAGGCUCUGAAACUUCCAACGGCAACGUCUCCCUUACCACCACCGGAGAUAUUGGUAGCUCCCGCUCCGUGGUGAUCGAAGUUAUUGGCCUCAACGAAGCCGCUCUUCAUAGGUUCCCGAAGUUGCUUUACUCUCAAACCAAACUCAACAAGGCUAGUGACUCCACUACUUCUGCCUGCUGCUCCAUAUGUUUACCACUGAGACUUUAAAAUAUCAAUAGAAAUCUUAACAGGAUCCUUUUUAUUAAAAAAAAAAAAGAAGGUGCAUUAUUUUCUCUCAAAAUUUUCUUGGAAGUUUCAUGUACAAGCGUUCAUUAGAGAUGACUUUUCUUCUUUUCUCACUGUUUUUUGGAGGGGAAAUCGCAUUGAUAGUAGUGGGUAGGUGAGAUAUAUUACCCAAAGGUCUAUUUUUCUUCAAUUGUUUUUGGCGUGUGUUACCCACCAUGAUGACAAAAGGGACCCUUUAAAAGCUUGCUAUUGACAUGUUACCCAACGUCUCUUAAUUCAUACAUAGCUCUAUUAUUGUUUUUUUUUUUAAAUCCUACUUUAGUAGGUUUAGAGACUAUAAUUUGAGAGAAAGAGAUUAAGCUUAAUCCAUUGUUUAAUUAACAACAUGUCAUAUCCCCAAUCCAAUCUCUUUCUUUCGAGAAGACUUUUUCUCUCGGCCUCCGCGAUUAGCAUGAGAUUUGAGACUUUAUCAAAAGUUUUUUAUUUUUUAUUUUUCAGUAGUACGGUGAUACAUGA